RNAcentral lists this ribosomal RNA (253 nucleotides) under uncultured bacterium. RNAcentral's name for it is "partial 16S ribosomal RNA". It matches the Rfam family "Bacterial small subunit ribosomal RNA", at positions 524 to 776 of the family's 1533-position model. The record is from RNAcentral.
AACGUAGGAGACAAACGUUAUCCGGAGUUACUGGGCGUAAAGGGCGUGUAGGUGGUUUCGUAAGUCUGGCGUGAAAUUUCUCGGCUUAACCGAGGCAGGUCGUCGGAUACUGCGGAACUUGAGGACGGUAGAGGCGUGUGGAAUUCCGGGUGUAGUGGUGAAAUGCGUAGAGAUCCGGAGGAACACCAAUGGCGAAGGCAGCCUUCUGGGCCAACACUGACGCUCAUGCACGAAAGCGUGGGGAGCAAACAGG